UGCUUAUAAAAGCGAUCCACUCCAGUCCUUUUCCAGGAGCCUGUCUGAUCCAGCUCAUAGGGUAGUUGCUGAAUGUGAAUCCAGAUGUUGUACAUGUCAAUCUGUGGGAUUCUCCAGGUCUUUUAAUCGCUGGUUCAGAUUCUGUCAGAGU
This is a long non-coding RNA of Etheostoma spectabile (orangethroat darter), 151 nucleotides long. RefSeq lists it as uncharacterized. The transcript has 2 exons. Lineage: Eukaryota; Metazoa; Chordata; Actinopteri; Perciformes; Percidae. The record is from RefSeq and is a predicted model, not a curated record.